Molecule: non-coding RNA, 630 nt
Organism: Nothobranchius furzeri (turquoise killifish)
Lineage: Eukaryota; Metazoa; Chordata; Actinopteri; Cyprinodontiformes; Nothobranchiidae
Source: RefSeq, a predicted model, not a curated record
GGUUGUUCAAAUUAAAAAAUAAAAUAUAAAGACUGAACAAUCAUUCAUACCGGAGAUCUGUGUCAUGAGUCUGCUGUUUUUCCCUCUGAGUCUAAUUGCAGGUGGGCGUGUCGGAGAGCCUCAGCUGCUGCUGAUUUCCCAUCAGCAAGGCCAGGGGAUUUAAGGAGUGGCGUGUCCACACUCCAGCGCCGGUUGAUACUCUCACCUGGGUAGCUUCCAGCCUUGUCCUGAAAUUGUACAAUUUUUGCAAUCUUGCUCUGCUUGUCCUGUUUAAUUACCUGUCCUGCCUUCCCCAGUUCUACUACCAAGUCUCAGCCUGAGUUCUCUUCUGUCCUGGAGUGUGUACCUCAGCCUCGCCACUCAUUCUUCCCUGGUCAUCUGCUCUCCGCCGUUCACCUGCUCUGGAUAUUCAUCAACCGCAUCCAUCCAGCCUCAACCUAAUUCUCCAUCAACCAGACCUGACCUACCCUCUCCCCACAUUCAUCCACUGUUCUGGCUCCACCUCGACCCGGUUUCCGCUUCGUCUAAGUUCGCCCUUAGUUCCCGUUGGCUUUUCCAGCACCCGUUUGGAGCUGCGUCCUUCGUUAUUAUUAUUUUUUCAUUUAAUAAAAUCAAAUUCAUAUUUUCUUA